AUUGAACGCUGGCGGCAUGCCUUACACAUGCAAGUCGAACGCCAAAGCGAGGGCAACUCUCGCCGGUAGCGUGGCGCACGGGUGAGUAACACAUCGGAACGUAUCCACUAGUGGGGGACAACCAGUCGAAAGAUUGGCUAAUACCGCAUACGCUGGAGACAGGAAAGCGGGGGACUCCGAGGGGCAACUCUAGGGGCCUCGCGCUAGCGGCGCGGCCGAUGUCCGAUUAGCUAGUUGGCGGGGUAAGAGCCCACCAAGGCGACGAUCGGUAGCGGGUCUGAGAGGAUGAUCCGCCACACUGGGACUGAGACACGGCCCAGACUCCUACGGGAGGCAGCAGUGGGGAAUUUUGGACAAUGGGGCAACCCUGAUCCAGCCAUGCCGCGUGA
RNAcentral lists this ribosomal RNA (389 nucleotides) under uncultured bacterium. RNAcentral describes it as "bacterial SSU rRNA". It matches the Rfam family "Bacterial small subunit ribosomal RNA", at positions 29 to 404 of the family's 1533-position model. The record is from RNAcentral.